This 254-nucleotide ribosomal RNA is filed under the name uncultured bacterium. RNAcentral's name for it is "partial 16S ribosomal RNA". It matches the Rfam family "Bacterial small subunit ribosomal RNA", at positions 524 to 776 of the family's 1533-position model. The record is from RNAcentral.
UACGUAGGGUGCGAGCGUUUGUCCGGAUUUAUUGGGCGUAAAGAGCUCGUAGGCGGCUUGUCGCGUCGGAUGUGAAAGCCCGGGGCUUAACUCCGGGUCUGCAUUCGAUACGGGCAGGCUAGAGUGUGGUAGGGGAGAUCGGAAUUCCUGGUGUAGCGGUGAAAUGCGCAGAUAUCAGGAGGAACACCGGUGGCGAAGGCGGGUUGCUGGGCUGACACUGACGCUGAUGUGCGAAAGCUAGGGGAGCGAACGGG